UCUGAAGGAAGUGAUGGGCCUACUCAGCCUUUUAUUGUUAAAAACAGAAAUGCCUUGUCCCGAGGAGAAGACAGGUCAGAGAGGUGAAGUGCUCUGCCAAGGAGGGCGGGACAGAAGCCCCUCUCAAACCCUAGCCAGUGUGUGUCCCAAGGAUGCUGAAAACAGGAAGAAGCCGCACACAGAAGCCAGACCUGGCUUUGCUUACUGCUCCACUCUCCCCAGAAAGAGGCCGUGCCAUCCAUGCUGGGUCACCAGAUAGGCGUGCUGACCCUGCUGUGGCGGGAGAAAGACAAGAUCACACAGCAGCACUCUCACUUUUGUGUCUACCUCCUCAUGGAGCUUGUUUUCCAGCAGAAGGGUGAGUGGGACUGGCAGGGGUUCAGGGUUGGGGGCGGGGGAGGGAGCGGGUGGGUAGCAGCCCUCCUGAGCACAGCUGUCCACAGGGAAGUUGGUGGAGUCUGCGCAAUGGAGUAAGAUGAAGCACUUUGAAAGCAACGUGUUUAGAGAGUGGGAGAUGAAGCUCUACUACCUGGUGAAGGUGAGGUCGCUCGGGCAAUGCCCGGGUCUCUGCUACCCUCAGUGCACAGUGGUUACAUGGUUUCUUCCUCCCCACUCCCAGGCCUGUGUGGAUGGGGCCAAAGGUUCCCAGGGACCUGUGCAGGCAAGUAGGUUGGGCAGAACCAGGACAGGAUGGACUUCUGCUCUUUUCAGGGAAGUUCUGUCUGUACCUUCUCUCCCAGCAGAUAGGACCUUUAA
This 756-nucleotide long non-coding RNA is filed under the name Rattus norvegicus (Norway rat). RNAcentral's name for it is "long non-coding RNA NONRATT027013". The record is from RNAcentral. Lineage: Eukaryota; Metazoa; Chordata; Mammalia; Rodentia; Muridae.